This 497-nucleotide ribosomal RNA is filed under the name uncultured bacterium. RNAcentral describes it as "partial 16S ribosomal RNA". It matches the Rfam family "Bacterial small subunit ribosomal RNA", at positions 28 to 507 of the family's 1533-position model. The record is from RNAcentral.
GAUGAACGCUGGCGGCGUGCCUAAUACAUGCAAGUCGAGCGAACAGACGAGGAGCUUGCUCCUCUGACGUUAGCGGCGGACGGGUGAGUAACACGUGGAUAACCUACCUAUAAGACUGGGAUAACUUCGGGAAACCGGAGCUAAUACCGGAUAAUAUAUUGAACCGCAUGGUUCAAUAGUGAAAGACGGUUUUGCUGUCACUUAUAAAUGGAUCCGCGCCGCAUUAGCUAGUUGGUAAGGUAACGGCUUACCAAGGCAACGAUGCGUAGCCGACCUGAGAGGGUGAUCGGCCACACUGGAACUGAGACACGGUCCAGACUCCUACGGGAGGCAGCAGUAGGGAAUCUUCCGCAAUGGGCGAAAGCUUGACGGAGCAACGCCGCGUGAGUGAUGAAGGUCUUCGGAUCGUAAAACUCUGUUAUUAGGGAAGAACAAAUGUGUAAGUAACUGUGCACGUCUUGACGGUACCUAAUCAGAAAGCCACGGCUAACUACGUG